RNAcentral lists this ribosomal RNA (407 nucleotides) under uncultured bacterium. RNAcentral describes it as "bacterial SSU rRNA". It matches the Rfam family "Bacterial small subunit ribosomal RNA", at positions 47 to 450 of the family's 1533-position model. The record is from RNAcentral.
CCUAACACAUGCAAGUCUAACGGUAACAGGAAGCAGCUUGCUGCUUCGCUGACGAGUGGCGGACGGGUGAGUAAUGUCUGGGAAGCUGCCUGAUGGAGGGGGAUAACUACUGGAAACGGUAGCUAAUACCGCAUAAUGUCGCAAGACCAAAGAGGGGGACCUUCGGGCCUCUUGCCAUCGGAUGUGCCCAGAUGGGAUUAGCUUGUUGGUGGGGUAACGGCUCACCAAGGCGACGAUCCCUAGCUGGUCUGAGAGGAUGACCAGCCACACUGGAACUGAGACACGGUCCAGACUCCUACGGGAGGCAGCAGUGGGGAAUAUUGCACAAUGGGCGCAAGCCUGAUGCAGCCAUGCCACGUGUAUGAAGAAGGCCUUCGGGUUGUAAAGUACUUUCAGCGGGGAGGAAG